AACGAACGCUGGCGGCAUGCCUAACACAUGCAAGUCGAACGAUGCUUUCGGGCGUAGUGGCGCCCGGGUGCGUAACGCGUGGGAAUCUGCCCUUGGGUUCGGCAUAACAGUGAGAAAUUGCUGCUAAUACCGGAUGAUGUCUUCGGACCAAAGAUUUAUCGCCCAGGGAUGAGCCCGCGUAGGAUUAGCUAGUUGGUGGGGUAAUGGGCUAUCAAGGCGACGAUCCUUAGCUGGUCUGAGAGGAUGAUCAGCCACACUGGGACUGAGACACGGCCCAGACUCCUACGGGAGGCAGCAGUGGGGAAUAUUGGACAAUGGGCGCAAGCCUGAUCCAGCAAUGCCGCGUGAGUGAUGAAGGCCUUAGGGUUGUAAAGCUCUUUUACCCGGGAUGAUAAUGACAGUACCGGGAGAAUAAGCUCCGGCUAACUCCGUG
Molecule: ribosomal RNA, 433 nt
Filed under: uncultured bacterium
Lineage: Bacteria
Description: partial 16S ribosomal RNA
Rfam family: Bacterial small subunit ribosomal RNA
Source: RNAcentral